GAGAACUGUUAUGCAUAAUUACAUAUUUCAAUGCAAGGUAUAAUAAGUUCAAUACGCAUAAUUCACAAAAACACACAUCACUGAAACGCAAAUAAAAUUAAGGGCAUCAAAAUCAAAUAAGCAAUUAACUCCAUAGUGAAGAUGUUGUAACAGUUUUAAGAUGACAGUCAGCAAACUAUCAUAUCUGCACACAGACACACACUAAC
RNAcentral lists this unclassified non-coding RNA (206 nucleotides) under Hevea brasiliensis (rubber tree). The record is from RNAcentral. Lineage: Eukaryota; Viridiplantae; Streptophyta; Magnoliopsida; Malpighiales; Euphorbiaceae.